CAGCCGCCGCGGGAAUACGGAGGGUGCAAGCGUUAAUCGGAAUUACUGGGCGUAAAGCGCACGCAGGCGGUCUGACAAGUCAGAUGUGAAAUCCCCGGGCUUAACCUGGGAACUGCAUUUGAAACUGUCAGGCUGGAGUCUUGUAGAGGGGGGUAGAAUUCCAGGUGUAGCGGUGAAAUGCGUAGAGAUCUGGAGGAAUACCGGUGGCGAAGGCGGCCCCCUGGACAAAGACUGACGCUCAGGUGCGAAAGCGUGGAGCAAACAGGAUUAGAUACCCGCGUAGUCCCUGUCUCUUAUACAC
Molecule: ribosomal RNA, 301 nt
Filed under: uncultured bacterium
Lineage: Bacteria
Description: partial 16S ribosomal RNA
Rfam family: Bacterial small subunit ribosomal RNA
Source: RNAcentral